This 1117-nucleotide long non-coding RNA is filed under the name Volvox carteri. RNAcentral's name for it is "long non-coding RNA (VCAR_LNC002783)". The record is from RNAcentral. Lineage: Eukaryota; Viridiplantae; Chlorophyta; Chlorophyceae; Chlamydomonadales; Volvocaceae.
GACCUAGGCAGUGUGAUGGCCAUGUGAGUGUCCUGCAGGGUGAGCAGAUCGGACUUGACGGAGAUGUGGGCUAGGUCGUUGAACCUCAGGAAACCCGCGAACAUAACCGAUAUGGCCGCUACCAUCAUCAGGUCUGGCAGUGAGGCAUCCGGCCCAGCGAAGUGAGCGGCCAACAUGCGGACAUGCUCUGGUUGCAUGCUUUCCCUGUGCAGCUUCUUCCCUUGCAGUGUGCGCCUGCCCAGGUCCAGUGUUUUUUUUUUAAGUAAUAUAUUACUUUUAAGGAAUAAAGAGGCCUUUUUGGCCUUUGGAAAUAAGGAACAAAGUGAGGCCGAUCCGUACAUUUUCAUUCCUUCAGCCAAAAACGUCCAUUGCUGCCAGAUUGCUCCGUAGUGUGCAGAACGUAGUAUUAUCGAUCAUAAAAUAGAUAUGAGGGGCCGUAAGAAGGUCAAGCCCGUGAGUCAACGCGGCAUAGCAGAAUGUAUGACCGGUCCUUCCAUAGACAAACACGCAAAAGGCAACGACUUGAACGCCGAACAAACACAAAAACAGCAAGAUAAGUCUGAAAUUUUUCCUGAUAAAGGCGUUUGGGACGGCGGUGCUGUUGUCGGUAAUGCAUCGGCAAUGUUGCUGCCAGCGGCGACCGAUGACACGGGCGCCAUUACCCCUGCCUUCCAUGGCGGUUGUGAUCAGCAUAAGCGCAAGCUGUCACCCAAUCAGCUUGACAACAACGAAUGCGGCGAGGCGCCCAACCCGAGCGCUCGCAGUGCCAAGCGGGCUCAGACACAGCGCAUCCGCAAGGGCAUGAGCGACGGUGCAUGGCGGGACAAGCAGAAGGAAAAUCCCCACAGAUGGCCGGUACAUGAUGAACCGGUAGAGUCCUAGUGUGCUGUGGUNNNNNNNNNNNNNNNNNNNNNNNNNNNNNNNNNNNNNNNNNNNNNNNNNNCUUUAAGGAAUACAUAACGGCGACGCUAGCAACUUUGUUACUUAGGUUGGAAUAAAUUGAGACCCCCCCUAAAUGAAAAAAAAAUCACUGCCCAGGUCCCGAACGAGGUUGCAUGCUGGGUGCUCCGUUGGUGAGGGGCGGCCCGCGAGAAAGAAAUGGCAGGCAAUAGCAGUG